CAUAGUAGUGGGAUUGCUGGAUCAAAUGGUAGUUCUAUUUUUAGUUCUUUAAGAAAUCUCUAAACCGUUUUCCAUACUGGUUGUACUAAUUGACAUUCCCACCAACAGUCGUGUAAAAGUGUUCC
Molecule: long non-coding RNA, 125 nt
Organism: Cebus imitator (Panamanian white-faced capuchin)
Lineage: Eukaryota; Metazoa; Chordata; Mammalia; Primates; Cebidae
Exons: 3
Source: RefSeq, a predicted model, not a curated record